UACAGAGGUCUCAAGCGUUGUUCGGAUUCAUUGGGCGUAAAGGGUGCGUAGGCGGCGCGGUGAGUCGGGUGUGAAAUCUCGGAGCUUAACUCCGAAACUGCAUUCGAUACUGCCGUGCUUGAGGACUGGAGAGGAGACUGGAAUUUACGGUGUAGCGGUGAAAUGCGUAGAUAUCGUAAGGAAGACCAGUGGCGAAGGCGGGUCUCUGGGCCGAUACUGACGCUGAGGAGCGAAAGCGUGGGGAGCGAACAGG
RNAcentral lists this ribosomal RNA (253 nucleotides) under uncultured bacterium. RNAcentral's name for it is "partial 16S ribosomal RNA". It matches the Rfam family "Bacterial small subunit ribosomal RNA", at positions 524 to 776 of the family's 1533-position model. The record is from RNAcentral.